AGUGAACGCUGGCGGUAGGCCUAACACAUGCAAGUCGAACGGCAGCACAGUAAGAGCUUGCUCUUACGGGUGGCGAGUGGCGGACGGGUGAGGAAUACAUCGGAAUCUACUUUUUCGUGGGGAUAACGUAGGGAAACUUACGCUAAUACCGCAUACGACCUACGGGUGAAAGCAGGGGAUCUUCGGACCUUGCGCGAUUGAAUGAGCCGAUGUCGGAUUAGCUAGUUGGCGGGGUAAAGGCCCACCAAGGCGACGAUCCGUAGCUGGUCUGAGAGGAUGAUCAGCCACACUGGAACUGAGACACGGUCCAGACUCCUACGGGAGGCAGCAGUGGGGAAUAUUGGACAAUGGGCGCAAGCCUGAUCCAGCCAUACCGCGUGGGUGAAGAAGGCCUUCGGGUUGUAAAGCCCUUUUGUUGGGAAAGAAAAGCAGCAGGUUAAUACCCCGCUGUUCUGACGGUACCCAAAGAAUAGGCACCGGCUAACUUCGUG
Molecule: ribosomal RNA, 491 nt
Filed under: uncultured bacterium
Lineage: Bacteria
Description: partial 16S ribosomal RNA
Rfam family: Bacterial small subunit ribosomal RNA
Source: RNAcentral